GACUGAGGGAAGAGUCAACUCCCUAGGCCAGAGCAAGUCCUCAGAUGCCAAAGUGAGGACAAACCAUUGACACAGAGCACCAUCAAUUACCAGGUUGUGAGAUGUAAUGAAAGGAGCCCAAGUUUUUGAAUCAAAUGAACCUGGCUUCUAUAAUCCUGGAUGUUUCUUGCUGGCUUUGGAUUUUAGGCAAGUCAUUCAAGUUCUCGGAUCCUUCAACUGAAUGUCUUCAUCUUUAAAAUGAAGAAUUUGUCACCACGAUCUGAAUGGGCUCCCAAAGUGACCUCAGCUGAUUAUAGGAGUAUUGGAUUUAUUUACAAGAAGGGAAGAUGUAGAUUCCCUCAUGGCAAAAUCCUGAACUGCAGUGAUGCCUCCUCUUCAAAAUCAGCAGGCUAAGUGUUUAUUUCAGAAUCUCCUGGCACUGGAGACAGCUGGGAAAAUGAAGAAAGAAUACUCAAUUUAACAUGUUCUGGACUUACAUAUAAAUAGUUUCAUGAAAAGACAUUUCUCAAAGUCUGAAUUUUUGCUGUGAGUUCCAAAAAUUGCUGGCAAAGAUUGGUUCACUAUAAGUGGGACAAAGGAAAAUCAGUAAAAACCUAUAAUGUCAUAUUUUGGAAGUGAUCUUUAACAGAUAGUGUCUAAAUUUAUAGAGGAUGUGUUGGCAGCUAGGAGAUUGGCAUUGAUUAGAAAAUCUGGGAGAAUGCAAGUUUUAGACAGAUAGCUGCUGCGAUGUUUCUCUUUCAUUUUGCUGAUCUGAGAUAUGAUAGCAGAGAGGCCUACUCUUCUGCUUGCACUUCUGAAUAACAAUCUUUCUGGGAGCACUGGGAAUUAAGAGAGAGAGAGACAGAGAGAUGCUCCG
Choloepus didactylus (southern two-toed sloth) is the source of this 856-nucleotide long non-coding RNA. RefSeq lists it as uncharacterized. The record is from RefSeq and is a predicted model, not a curated record. Lineage: Eukaryota; Metazoa; Chordata; Mammalia; Pilosa; Megalonychidae. The transcript has 3 exons.